Molecule: small nucleolar RNA, 133 nt
Organism: Chanos chanos (milkfish)
Lineage: Eukaryota; Metazoa; Chordata; Actinopteri; Gonorynchiformes; Chanidae
Product: small nucleolar RNA SNORA30/SNORA37 family
Exons: 1
Source: RefSeq, a predicted model, not a curated record
CAAGCAUCUUAACAGGUCCUGGUCUUUGUGUGGUAGACCAUGAUUUGGUAGCUGGUGCUGAGAUGAAAUCUCUCCUUGCAACAACUCAUUGGCUCUGCCUGUGCCAGCUGAGACUAUCAGGGAGAGAACACAC